RNAcentral lists this ribosomal RNA (398 nucleotides) under Sarocladium strictum. RNAcentral's name for it is "partial small subunit ribosomal RNA". It matches the Rfam family "Eukaryotic small subunit ribosomal RNA", at positions 30 to 432 of the family's 1831-position model. Lineage: Eukaryota; Fungi; Ascomycota; Sordariomycetes; Hypocreales; Sarocladiaceae. The record is from RNAcentral.
GCUUGUCUCAAAGAUUAAGCCAUGCAUGUCUAAGUAUAAGCCUUUACACGGUGAGACUGCGAAUGGCUCAUUAAAUCAGAAACUGUUUAUUUGAUAGUGCCUACUACUUGGAUAACCGUAGUAAUUCUAGAGCUAAUACAUGCAAAAAGCCUGGACUUCUGGAACAGGCGUAUUUAUUAGAUACAAAACCAAUGCCCUUCGGGGCUCCUUGGUGAUUCAUGAUAACUAUACGAAUCGCACGGCCUUGCGCCGGCGAUGGUUCAUUCAAAUUUCUUCCCUAUCAACUUUCGAUGUUUGGGUAUUGGCCAAACAUGGUUGCAACGGGUAACGGAGGGUUAGGGCUCGACCCCGGAGAAGGAGCCUGAGAAACGGCUACUACAUCCAAGGAAGGCAGCAGG